This 72-nucleotide transfer RNA is filed under the name Camelus bactrianus (Bactrian camel). It matches the Rfam family "tRNA". From Rfam's summary of the family: Transfer RNA (tRNA) molecules are approximately 80 nucleotides in length. Their secondary structure includes four short double-helical elements and three loops (D, anti-codon, and T loops). The record is from Rfam by way of RNAcentral. RNAcentral also lists the same sequence under 2 other names. Lineage: Eukaryota; Metazoa; Chordata; Mammalia; Artiodactyla; Camelidae.
GAGGGUAUAGCUCAGUGGUAGAGUGCAUGCCUAGCAUGCACAGGGUUAGGGGUUCAACCCCCAGUACCUCCA